CCUACGGGAGGCACCAGUAGGGAAUCUUCCGCAAUGGACGAAAGUCUGACGGAGCAACGCCGCGUGAGUGAUGAAGGCUUUCGGGUCGUAAAACUCUGUUGUUAGGGAAGAACAAGCGCUAGUUGAAUAAGCUGGCACCUUGACGGUACCUAACCAGAAAGCCACGGCUAACUACGUGCCAGCAGCCGCGGUAAUACGUAGGUGGCAAGCGUUAUCCGGAAUUAUUGGGCGUAAAGCGCGCGCAGGUGGUUUCUUAAGUCUGAUGUGAAAGCCCACGGCUCAACCGUGGAGGGUCAUUGGAAACUGGGAGACUUGAGUGCAGAAGAGGAAAGUGGAAUUCCAUGUGUAGCGGUGAAAUGCGUAGGGAUAUGGAGGAACACCAGUGGCGAAGGCGACUUUCUGGUCUGUAACUGACACUGAGGCGCGAAAGCGUGGGGAGCAAACAGGAUUAGAUACCCGCGGGUC
RNAcentral lists this ribosomal RNA (465 nucleotides) under uncultured bacterium. RNAcentral describes it as "bacterial SSU rRNA". It matches the Rfam family "Bacterial small subunit ribosomal RNA", at positions 338 to 795 of the family's 1533-position model. The record is from RNAcentral.